Molecule: ribosomal RNA, 301 nt
Filed under: uncultured bacterium
Lineage: Bacteria
Description: partial 16S ribosomal RNA
Rfam family: Bacterial small subunit ribosomal RNA
Source: RNAcentral
CAGCCGCCGCGGGAACACGUAGGGUGCGAGCGUUAAUCGGAAUUACUGGGCGUAAAGCGUGCGCAGGCGGUUGUGUAAGACAGGUGUGAAAUCCCCGGGCUUAACCUGGGAACUGCGCUUGUGACUGCACAGCUAGAGUAUGGCAGAGGGGGGUGGAAUUCCACGUGUAGCAGUGAAAUGCGUAGAGAUGUGGAGGAACACCGAUGGCGAAGGCAGCCCCCUGGGCCAAUACUGACGCUCAUGCCCGAAAGCGUGGGGAGCAAACAGGAUUAGAUACCAGCGUAGUCCUGUCUCUUAUACA